UCUUGCACUGGGAUUCUAAAAAAGCAUCUGAUCUCAAAAGCUGAGCAGGAUUGGGCCUGGAUAGUACUUGGAUGGGAGACCACCUGCAAACACCAAGCAAGUUUAAGUC
This 109-nucleotide ribosomal RNA is filed under the name Cavia porcellus (domestic guinea pig). The record is from RNAcentral. Lineage: Eukaryota; Metazoa; Chordata; Mammalia; Rodentia; Caviidae.